AUUUGUAUAGUAUAAAAAUUAUUUUUAACUUCCAAUUAAAAGAUCUAAUACAUUAGUAUAAAUA
This 64-nucleotide transfer RNA is filed under the name Luciola parvula. RNAcentral describes it as "tRNA-Gly". Lineage: Eukaryota; Metazoa; Arthropoda; Insecta; Coleoptera; Lampyridae. The record is from RNAcentral.